Molecule: ribosomal RNA, 2827 nt
Filed under: Puniceibacterium sp. IMCC21224
Lineage: Bacteria; Pseudomonadati; Pseudomonadota; Alphaproteobacteria; Rhodobacterales; Paracoccaceae
Description: bacterial LSU rRNA
Rfam family: Bacterial large subunit ribosomal RNA
Source: RNAcentral
AGGCGAUGAAGGACGUGAUACUCUGCGAUAAGCCAUGGGGAGCUGAGAAUAAGCUUUGAUCCAUGGAUUUCCGAAUGGGGCAACCCACCUGACAGUUUGUUAUAAUAGCCUUCGGGCUGCUUAUAAUGGCUGAAACAGGUACUUAUUACCUGAAUACAUAGGGUUUUAAGAGCAAACCCGGGGACUGAAACAUCUAAGUACCCGGAGGAAAGGACAUCAAUAGAGACUCCCCUAGUAGCGGCGAGCGAACGGGGACCAGCCGAGUCCUGAGAGUGACCAGAACGACCUGGAAAGGUCGGCCAUAGCGGGUGACAGCCCCGUAUGGGAAGCUCAAUGGAACGUAUUAAGUAGGCGGGACACGUGAAAUCCUGUUCGAAGAUCGGAGGACCACCUCCGAAGGCUAAGUACUCCUUACUGACCGAUAGCGGAACCAGUACCGUGAGGGAAAGGUGAAAAGCACCCCGACGAGGGGAGUGAAACAGUACCUGAAACCGAACGCCUACAAUCAGUCGGAGCUUGACUGGACUCUAAUAACAAUCUGAAGUAGAAGAUUAUUAUUAGUGUCCAGUCUUGUGACGGCGUACCUUUUGUAUAAUGGGUCAUCGACUUGGUCUAUCUAGCAAGCUUAAGCCGUUAGGUGUAGGCGCAGCGAAAGCGAGUCUUAAUAGGGCGUUGAGUUAGAUGGAUCAGACCCGAAACCGAGUGAUCUAGGCAUGACCAGGAUGAAGGUAAGGUAACACUUACUGGAGGUCCGAACCCACACCUGUUGAAAAAGGUCGGGAUGAGUUGUGCCUAGGGGUGAAAGGCCAAUCAAACUCGGAGAUAGCUGGUUCUCUGCGAAAUCUAUUUAGGUAGAGCGUCAUCCGAAUACCCCGGGGGGGUAGAGCACUGGAUGGUAAUGGGGCCCCACAGGCUUACUGAUCCUAACCAACUCCGAAUACCCGGGAGUACUAGAUGGCAGACACACAGCGGAUGCUAACGUCCGUUGUGAAGAGGGAAACAACCCUGACCUACAGCUAAGGCCCUAAUUCAUGGCUAAGUGGGAAAGCAGGUGGGACGACCAAAACAACCAGGAGGUUGGCUUAGAAGCAGCCAUCCUUUAAAGAUAGCGUAACAGCUCACUGGUCUAAAUAAGUUGUCCUGCGGCGAAGAUGUAACGGGGCUCAAGCCAUGAGCCGAAGCUUAGGAUGCCGUAAGGCAUGGUAGCAGAGCGUAGUGUGACAUAGUUCCAUGUCUCUUUUGCCUCUUUCGGGAGGUAUUGGAGACGCGGAGCUUUCUGUGAAGCUGGCGCGUGAGCGAUCCGGUGGAGAGAUCACUAGUGAGAAUGAUGACAUGAGUAGCGACAAAGAGUGUGAGAGACACUCUCGCCGAAAGUCCAAGGGUUCCUGCUUAAAGCUAAUCUGAGCAGGGUAAGCCGACCCCUAAGGCGAGGCCGAAAGGCGUAGUCGAUGGGAACCAGGUUAAUAUUCCUGGGCCAGAUGGAAGUGACGGAUCUCGAAGAUUGUUCCUCCUUAUCGGAUUGGAGGGCCGUUGAGAGGUUCCUGGAAAUAGCUCCAUCGCUAGAUCGUACCCUAAACCGACACAGGUGGACUGGUAGAGAAUACCAAGGCGCUUGAGAGAACUAUGUUGAAGGAACUCGGCAAAAUACCUCCGUAAGUUCGCGAGAAGGAGGCCCGGUUUCUAGGCAACUAGAGGCUGGGGGCACAAACCAGGGGGUGGCGACUGUUUACUAAAAACACAGGGCUCUGCGAAGUCGUAAGACGACGUAUAGGGUCUGACGCCUGCCCGGUGCCUGAAGGUUAAAAGGAGGGGUGAGAGCUCUGAAUUGAAGCCCAGGUAAACGGCGGCCGUAACUAUAACGGUCCUAAGGUAGCGAAAUUCCUUGUCGGGUAAGUUCCGACCUGCACGAAUGGCGUAACGACUUCCCCGCUGUCUCCAACAUAGACUCAGCGAAAUUGAAUUGCCUGUCAAGAUGCAGGCUUCCCGCGGUUAGACGGAAAGACCCCGUGCACCUUUACUACAACUUCACACUGGCAUUAGGCCGAACAUGUGCAGGAUAGGUGGUAGGCUUUGAAGCGUGAACGCCAGUUUGCGUGGAGCUUCCCUUGAGAUACCACCCUUGUUCUGCUUGAUGUCUAACCGCGGUCCGUUAUCCGGAUCCGGGACCCUGUGUGGUGGGUAGUUUGACUGGGGCGGUCGCCUCCUAAAGCGUAACGGAGGCGCGCGAAGGUUGGCUCAGAGCGGUCGGAAAUCGCUCGUUGAGUGCAAUGGCAGAAGCCAGCCUGACUGCAAGACUGACAAGUCGAGCAGAGACGAAAGUCGGCCAUAGUGAUCCGGUGGUCCCAAGUGGGAGGGCCAUCGCUCAACGGAUAAAAGGUACGCCGGGGAUAACAGGCUGAUACUGCCCAAGAGUCCAUAUCGACGGCAGUGUUUGGCACCUCGAUGUCGGCUCAUCUCAUCCUGGGGCUGGAGCAGGUCCCAAGGGUACGGCUGUUCGCCGUUUAAAGAGGUACGUGAGCUGGGUUUAGAACGUCGUGAGACAGUUCGGUCCCUAUCUGCCGUGGGUGUAGGAUACUUGAGAGGAGUUGCCCCUAGUACGAGAGGACCGGGGUGAACGAACCACUGGUGGACCAGUUGUCGUGCCAACGGCAGUGCUGGGUAGCUAAGUUCGGACAGGAUAACCGCUGAAGGCAUCUAAGCGGGAAGCCCCCCUCAAAACAAGGUAUCCCUGAGGGCCGUGGUAGACCACCACGUCGAUAGGCCGGAGAUGUAAGCGCGGUAACGCGUUCAGUUGACCGGUACUAAUGGCCCGAUAGGCUUGAUUUGA